Molecule: ribosomal RNA, 424 nt
Filed under: uncultured bacterium
Lineage: Bacteria
Description: partial 16S ribosomal RNA
Rfam family: Bacterial small subunit ribosomal RNA
Source: RNAcentral
GAAUAUUGGACAAUUGGGGGAACCCUGAUCCGGCCAUGCCGCGUGUGUGAAGAAGGCCUUUUGGUUGUAAAGCACUUUAAGCGAGGAGGAGGAGCACUUGGUUAAUACCCAAGUUUCUUGGUCGUUACUCGUCACAUAAGCACCGGCUAACUCGUAGCCAGCAGCCGCGGUAAUACAGAGGGUGCAAGCGUUAAUCGGAUUUACUGGGCGUAAAGCGCGCGUAGGUGGCCAAUUAAGUCAAAUGUGAAAUCCCCGAGCUUAACUUGGGAAUUGCAUUCGAUACUGGUUGGCUAGAGUAUGGGAGAGGAUGGUAGAAUUCCAGGUGUAGCGGUGAAAUGCGUAGAGAUCUGGAGGAAUACCGAUGGCGAAGGCAGCCAUCUGGCCUAAUACUGACACUGAGGUGCGAAAGCAUGGGGAGCAAACA